RNAcentral lists this ribosomal RNA (471 nucleotides) under uncultured bacterium. RNAcentral's name for it is "bacterial SSU rRNA". It matches the Rfam family "Bacterial small subunit ribosomal RNA", at positions 330 to 793 of the family's 1533-position model. The record is from RNAcentral.
CUAUCACUCCUACGGGAGGCAGCAUGGGGGAAUAUUGCACAAUGGGGGAAACCCUGAUGCAGCCAUGCCGCGUGUGUGAAGAAGGCCUUCGGGUUGUAAAGCACUUUCAGUAGGGAGGAAGGUAGUGUAGUUAACACCUGCAUUAUUUGACGUUACCUACAGAAGAAGCACCGGCUAACUCCGUGCCAGCAGCCGCGGUAAUACGGAGGGUGCGAGCGUUAAUCGGAAUUACUGGGCGUAAAGCGCAUGCAGGCGGCCUGUUAAGUCAGAUGUGAAAGCCCGGGGCUUAACCUCGGAAUUGCAUUUGAAACUGGCAGGCUAGAGUCUUGUAGAGGGGGUAGAAUUUCAGGUGUAGCGGUGAAAAUGCGUAGAGAUCUGAAGGAAUACCAGUGGCGAAGGCGGCCCCCUGGACAAAGACUGACGCUCAGAUGCGAAAGCGUGGGGAGCAAACAGGAUUAGAUACCCUGGUAG